RNAcentral lists this ribosomal RNA (189 nucleotides) under Parvimonas micra. RNAcentral describes it as "partial 16S ribosomal RNA". It matches the Rfam family "Bacterial small subunit ribosomal RNA", at positions 291 to 497 of the family's 1533-position model. Lineage: Bacteria; Bacillati; Bacillota; Tissierellia; Tissierellales; Peptoniphilaceae. The record is from RNAcentral.
UCUGAGAGGAUGAACGGCCACAUUGGAACUGAGACACGGUCCAAACUCCUACGGGAGGCAGCAGUGGGGAAUAUUGCACAAUGGGGGGAACCCUGAUGCAGCGACGCCGCGUGAGCGAAGAAGGUUUUCGAAUCGUAAAGCUCUGUCCUAUGAGAAGAUAAUGACGGUAUCAUAGGAGGAAGCCCCGGC